GGAAAUGUGGCUGACCGGAGUACGGCGAAGUCCGAAGCGGAGCUUGACGAAGCCGAUGACGGGACCGGUGUGGCGCUUCAUCAUCUCCUCCUUGAUCUGAGACGGUUCCAUUUUCGACAGAUCGGCGGGCGGGAAAGAUGGCUCCUUCUUCUUGCCCCAUUCCUUCCAAGACUCGUCCUCUUCGUCAUCGUACACGUCAUCAAGGUCAUCGCUGAUGUGCACCUUGCGCUUUCCUCCAGAGAAGAAAAAAAAUAAAAAAUAAAAAUAAAAAAUAAAAAAUAAAAUUUCUUAAUUUUACUUUUUUUUUUCUUUACAAAAUUCUAAAAAUAGAAAAUCAUAAAAUACUAAAAAUAAAAUCCAAUCCUAACACAUUUUUUUAAGCUUCCUUACAAAGUAAUAAUUCAAUUUAAAAUAUUUUUAAAAUUGACAAAAUAUAAUUCCAUAAUUAUUUUAUAAUUUAAAUAAAAUAGUUUGCAACAAACAUUUAAUUCUAAAAUCCUAUUUAUAAUUGUUCAUUCAAUAUACGUAAAUUGUAUAAAAAGUAUAAUAAUAUAUUUUUGGUACCUUAUUUAAUUAGUGUUAUGUAUUUAUUUAAUUAAAUCUAUUAUCUAUUUAAAUUUCUAAUUAAGUAUACAAUGAUAACCCCUCUUAACGAAAAAAUACAUUAAAUUAAUGUAGAGAUUUAUAUUAUUUACGAAAUGUUCAAAUCCUAAUAAUUGGAUACUAUAUUUAAGCUCAAUUAACUUUAUAUAAUACACCACAAACUUGCACCUAGCUUAUGUUAAACAAAAAAAUGUUAUCUUCGUUUAAUUAAAAUUUAUAUAUAUCACAAUUAUUUUUCUAAGAAACAAUCAUAAAUUUAACCUUUAAUAUCUUUGUUUAAUUAAAACUUAUAUGUAAAGUUUAAUUAUCCUCAAACAAAAGUAAGUGUAAAAAAAGUGUUGAAUCUCUUUAUAUAAGUUAUUAAAUAAGUUUUUUAUGUUUGUGCUUGCUCUCUAUGUAUGAACCUUUUGAUUUGGUAUAUAAGUGUUCUCUUCUAUGACAUACUUCUCAUCUUUAAUCAAAAUAAUUCACAAAAACUCUUUAUUAAGAUCUACUAAUAAGACGCUCGUCUUUAUAACUAAAAAUUACUUCAAACUUACUCACCUUUAUAAUCCCACAUUGACCUAUAGGAAUUUAAGCGUGCUAACCUUAAAUUUCAAAUUCAAGAAGUUUUAAAUUAUAUAAUGUAACCAAAAUUCUAGCUGAAAUUCAUCAAAAACCAAUAAACAUGCAGAAACAGCCAAUUUCCCCAUAAAAUCAUAGCUAAAAUUGGAGCCCUGUUUUACACCAAGAUAAGAAUAGCCUUAACCAGAAACAGAAAUGUGGCUGACCGGAGUACGGCGAAGUCCGAAGCGGAGCUUGACGAAGCCGAUGACGGGACCGGUGUGGCGCUUCAUCAUCUCCUCCUUGAUCUGAGACGGUUCCAUUUUCGACAGAUCGGCGGGCGGGAAAGAUGGCUCCUUCUUCUUGUCCCAUUCCUUCCAAGACUCGUCCUCUUCGUCAUCGUACACGUCAUCAAGGUCAUCGCUGAUGUGCACCUUGCGCUUUCUUCCAUGGGCAAAUUCGUAAUUUUGCAGCACCAGAAGUAGUAGAAGAAGAAGGAGGGUGGUAGUGGAGC
Molecule: long non-coding RNA, 1660 nt
Filed under: Arachis ipaensis
Lineage: Eukaryota; Viridiplantae; Streptophyta; Magnoliopsida; Fabales; Fabaceae
Description: long non-coding RNA (AIPA_LNC001028)
Source: RNAcentral